GCGUCUUUUUCGUGUCGUUAUUCAACGAGUUUAUUUAACAAGGUGCGCGAUCGGCGUAUUCCGUGGUCUUUAUUCGUAUUUAGUGCACGUUAUAAGCGACGAGAGUACUGUAGCAAAGUGACGAGUGAUCAUUGUAUCCGCGCGUGAUAUUAAUGAGUCGUGUUUUUUCGUUCGGCAGGUAUUUGCGCGAGUGAUUGUUCAAAAUAACGGACAAUACGGAGAGACGCAGAGACAACAAAUUGGGCGAGAUCGCAGUGCAUUUGCGAAUAAUUCUUCCAAACAACGGACGACAUGGCAGAGACGACGAAUUCGGCAAGAGUGGUAUUUUCGGAAUCUCGAGUUCAUGUUAUUAAUUAGUUCAUGCGAUACCUGAUUGACAGCUGCGUGAAUAUUCUCGGCGCUGUAUGUGUAACGAGGUGGUCUACUCGUGGUCGCUCUGAUCUGCUCGUACAAGGCGCUGGUGCUCGGCGUGCGACUUAGCCAGGCACGAUAUUCAUCCGACGUGAAUACGCUCGGCGAGGACGGUAUCCUGCCUGUUGCGACAUUUAUCGACAUCCACGAUUUACUUUAUUCGGAAAUUCGGGGAGACGAAGGCACGAAAGCGAGGAAUACCUAAACGUGGAAACGAACGCGAGUCAGGCGAAUCGGGCCGAUAAGACCGUACAGUCAUUGCGUAUGUCACCGAUGAUGACGCGUAUAUCAACCGAUAUGCCACACAACGUGGCAACACAACGUCGUCGAUAUAAUCAUUUACAUAACCGACAUUCAACUGGUUCUUGAACUUCACUCUUCGAUUCCUUUCGCCGUGGCGAUCCUCCUAUGCUAUAUCGAUCCACGACCCACGACCACAACUAGCUGGAAGGAGGGACCGGCGCGUGCAAGACGAACAGACCAACGGCGGUGGACGUCGGAGAGAGGGCAAAAGGACAAGGAUUUCUAAAGCGACGAUGCCGUGAUUUCUUCUCGAUGAAUCUGCCGAUGAACUAACCCGUCUUUUGUCGAGAGAAACGUCACUUUCAAUAUCGUUAUCGCAGAAACGAUUGCCGACGAAGGGCUGAUAUCGCGAAAAGAGGUUCCUUAAUGCGUUGGGGCGAAAGCGAGGAUAGUUGAUCCGUUUUUGAGUAUCGGCAAUCAUCCACCACCAUUAGAUAGAAUAGUAACAGCACAAAAUGUAAUAUUUCUUCAGUAGAUUCAGUAGAAGAUUCAAUUUCUGUCGAAGCAAGGUAAAGUACACUCGAAACAACGUUCAAAAAGGAAUCUUACAAAAGAGACAUCGUCGACGACACUGACAAGACAGAGCCGGUAUCGCGCAUGAGCGAGGAACCGAAAGAGGCCGGUAUAUCGGGCCAGAGAUACGUCCAAAGGGAAAAUCGAGAGCGAUGGGAACUCACCGCGUCCCACGAGGAAGAGGCACGUCGACAUCGACACGUAGAAGAAGUUUUCGAGCGACACCUGUGCACACGGAUUCGUGCAAAGCGACUCGAGGUCGUCGAGCUCGAGCGGCGGAGGUCGGAAAAGCGAGCGAGCCGGUUGCGCGUGGGAAAAACGAUGUGCAUACGAUGCCGGUAUAUCGGACAAGAAGAGAGAGAGAGAGAGAGAGAGAGAGAGAGAGAGAGAGAGAGAGAGUAGAGUAGAGUAGAGUAGAGCCACCACGAAAAUCGUGUGGUGGCGUGCCAGCCGAUGGUCCCGGACCAACCCGAUCGAUAUACCCUUUUUUCGAGAGUACCUCCUCUCUCUCUCUCUCUCUCUCUCUCGGCCACUCUCUCGGUUCGCUUCGUCUCCCUUUCGCCCGUUUUACUUGGUCUCGUUCACGAACUUUGCCUCACCCUCGAGACGAGACGAAGGUGGACGACUGGCCCCGUCUAUCUUCGAUAAAAACGAACGCUCUGGAAAACGCGUGGAAACGAUCUGAAUGGUGACAGACUCAACGGAUAAAUCGAGAUGUCACGACGCGUGUCUCACGGGCGCGUAAACGUACCUGAUGAGAGCGGGAGCGCGAGAACGGGACGCGAGAGAGAAAGAGAGAGAGAAAGAGAGCGAUUCUCCUCUCCUUCACACUUGGCUCUCUCUUCUCCGAGACUCUAUUUUUCUCCUCGCUCCUUCUCCUCCCCCGGCGGCGAAAGGAGGCAGGAGGAAUCUUCCGGUUGCAGCUUUCUCACCUCGCCGUAUAACGCCACGCGGGAAUCAAUACGCGCGCCUGCCUCGAGCCUUUUUCUCUCUCUCUCUCUCUCUCUUGUCGCGCACUAACCACCCUUUACGCUCGUUCACCCUCUCACCCGCGCGUUCACUUUCUCUAUCUCUCUUCUCCACUCUUUCUCUCUCCGACACCCACCCUCAUCGGCUAAACCCCUCGUCCACUCCGCCUCUCGCGAUGGUUCGCUUCCUCUCUCCCUCCCGCGCGAGCGCACCCUUCGGAGUAUAGUACGCUACUCUGCCGUACGUUGCCGAAGAGAGCACUUCUCCUCCCUCGCUACCUUGAUAUACUCGGACGGUGCACCGUAUCUCCGUCCUUGUCCUUCUCUCUCUUUCCUCGCUUCGGACAGAGUUAUUUCUCCUCGUGGAGGGUCGGCGAACGAAAGAGCACCUCGUCGACGACAAUGACGGCGACGACACGAGAAACACAAUUACAAACUCGCAUGCACGUACGCACGGCGACGACGCGAACAGGAGAGAGAGAGAGAGAGAGAGAGAGAGAGAGAAAGAAAGAGCGCGUGAGAGGUGCACGCGUGAGUAUAUUUCGCGCGGGAAUUGCGAGCUGCCCUUACGUCAGAGAACUGAGGACUACCCUCUCGCGGAGUGUAACGCGCCCCGCCGUAUAACUACGACUAUACGCUCGGCCGCCGUCGCGCGGACAUGUCGAGGGCUGCGACACGCACGCAAGCGCGCAAGCGAGCGAUAAAGACGACGAGGGUGCGAGGAGCAGGGCUGACGAUGGCCACGACGACGACGACGACGACGACGACACCGACGACAUGCUAUAUAGGUAUAACGCGAAGCGUCGCUCGUUUUUCAUCUUUGCCAACCGGACGCCCUCGAUCGCGAAUUGCGCCGAAAACUAUCGAUCUCGCACACCCUUAGUUUUCGAAUUUCCUCGCCGGAGAAUUUAUUUUUUCCCGCGAAUCUCUUACAUCUCGAUGAAAAGCGUGUGUAAAUCUAGUAAGAUUACGUAUUCUUGCGAUUUAUUUGAUACAAUGUUGCAGUAAGAUUUUGCUCUUUAUGCGCAAAAAGGGUAAAAGUAAACAUUCUUUAGAGAUAGAAUUAGUAGAGUAUUGUAGAUUCUUGAGAUGUUUAAGAAGAAGUCGAGGAAAGAAUUGGAAUUUUUAUCACUCCAAGAGGAUUGUAUCCCGAUGCAAAUCAGAUAAAAUUCUUUGUCUUUAUGUAUAUUUUACAUUUCCUCUAUAUUGCAUAACAAAAGGAGAAUAUUUGACAUACGAUAAAGCGAUGAAACUGUAUUACUUGCACGCAGGGCGACUUAAAAUUUUCGUCAUUCUCUCCGAGAAACGGCGUUAUGGUGCGGCGUCGAUUAUUGCAUACUGAUUACAGGAACAUCUUAAGAAGCCCACUACUAAAGUAGAUGCUUAAAGAAACUUUAAAGGCUGCCGAACAGAUCCAACGGCGCGCAGUGUUCAAAGUUUUCAUCAGAACUGACGUCUCUUUUCGACUAGCGCUUAAAAUUCAAACUUUUGCGAGAAAGUUGUAAUAUAAAGGAGUACAUUUUCAUUAAGAAUUACUAAGAAUAACUUAAAACUAACUUGUUGCAAAAAGCAAUACUAGCGAUUUGGAAAAGUGAACAAAGUUUGUAAUUUACAGUAGUUGCAAGACUGAUAAAAAAUUUUGUAUGUCCUUGUUUUUCUUCAUUUUAUAUAUAUAUAUAAAAAAAAAUAAAUAAAAGAUAUUUUAUAAAGA
Cataglyphis hispanica is the source of this 3906-nucleotide long non-coding RNA. RefSeq lists it as uncharacterized. Lineage: Eukaryota; Metazoa; Arthropoda; Insecta; Hymenoptera; Formicidae. The record is from RefSeq and is a predicted model, not a curated record. The transcript has 5 exons.